This 63-nucleotide non-coding RNA is filed under the name unclassified sequences. The record is from Rfam.
AAUGGUCCUCGGUAGUGGUUUCCGCACAAAUUAAUGUGCGUGAACUUCGAUCGAAGAUUCAUU